AGAAGCAGCAACGCCGUGUGAAGGAUGAAGGACUUWUGYUCGUAAACUUCUGUUAGGAGGGAAAAAUAAUCCGCYUUUWGCGGRCUUGAUUGUACCUUCAAAGCAAGCUCCGGCUAACUACGUGCCAGCAGCCGCGGUAAUACGUAGGGGGCAAGCGUUGUCCGGAUUUACUGGGUGUAAAGGGUGCUCAGGUGGAUUYAUAAGUCAGAGGUGAAAMUCCGAAGCUUAACUUCGGAACUGCCUUUGAUACUGURGUCUAGAGUUUGAGAGAGGGCAAUGGAAUAUCUGGUGUAGCAGUGAAAUGCGUAGAUAUCAGAUAGAACACCAAUGGCGAAGGCAGUUGCCUGGCUCAAUACUGACGCUAAAGCACGAAAGUGUGGGGAGCAAACAGGAUUAGAUACCCUGGU
RNAcentral lists this ribosomal RNA (407 nucleotides) under uncultured Chlorobiota bacterium. RNAcentral's name for it is "bacterial SSU rRNA". It matches the Rfam family "Bacterial small subunit ribosomal RNA", at positions 384 to 791 of the family's 1533-position model. The record is from RNAcentral. Lineage: Bacteria; Pseudomonadati; Chlorobiota.